RNAcentral lists this ribosomal RNA (253 nucleotides) under uncultured bacterium. RNAcentral describes it as "partial 16S ribosomal RNA". It matches the Rfam family "Bacterial small subunit ribosomal RNA", at positions 524 to 776 of the family's 1533-position model. The record is from RNAcentral.
UACGUAGGGUGCAAGCGUUAAUCGGAAUUACUGGGCGUAAAGCGUGCGCAGGCGGUUAUGCAAGACAGAUGUGAAAUCCCCGGGCUUAACCUGGGAACUGCAUUUGUGACUGCAUAGCCAGAGUACGGUAGAGGGGGAUGGAAUUCCGCGUGUAGCAGUGAAAUGCGUAGAUAUGCGGAGGAACACCGAUGGCGAAGGCAGUCCCCUGGACCUGUACUGACGCUCAUGCACGAAAGCGUGGGGAGCAAACAGG